Molecule: long non-coding RNA, 542 nt
Organism: Esox lucius (northern pike)
Lineage: Eukaryota; Metazoa; Chordata; Actinopteri; Esociformes; Esocidae
Source: Ensembl
AAGCACGCGAAUGUGGCGCGCUCUGUAUUACCCCCCCCCAACCAUCAAGCCAACCGCCAGCAGCUGUGUAAAGAUCUAACUGUUCUCACACACCUCAGCGUGGAGUUUGUAAUCCAUCACAUUUUGGGAGCAGAAAAGGUUGGGCAUCCUCAUCCAGAUCUAAGCGUUCUCGCACACCUCAGCGUGGAGUUCCAAAUCCAGCACAGUCCGGGAGCAGAAAAGGUCGGGCAUCCUCAUCCAGAUUUAGUCGUUCUCGCACACCUCAGCGUGGAGUUCCAAAUCCAGCACAGUCCGGGAGCAGAAAAGGUCAGGCAUCCUCAUCCAGCUUUUCACCAACAAUCUAAUGGCUGGUUUCAACAUGAAGGGGCAGGGUCGCAGUGAGAAAAAAGCCUUCCAGGAUACAGUUUUUUACUCUUUGGUAAAAGCUGCAGUAAUGAAGUGGAGUAAAACUGCCACGGAACUUGAAAUUAGGGCUGCUAUGGCUGAGACACUGAAACAUGCUCCCGGGAGAGCUGGAGGUGGAGGUCGUCGCAAAGUCUGAA